GUACCCACACCUCACCGAGCUUUCUGUUAGACCAACGUGAUAGGUGAGCCGUAUCGCCGUCUAUAAUGGUCGAGACAACUGUGUUAGUGAAAACUGCACUUGAGAUAAAUUAAUAACUCAUUGGUGCAAGUCCAGUACCGGGGUU
Molecule: long non-coding RNA, 145 nt
Organism: Pectinophora gossypiella (pink bollworm)
Lineage: Eukaryota; Metazoa; Arthropoda; Insecta; Lepidoptera; Gelechiidae
Exons: 2
Source: RefSeq, a predicted model, not a curated record